GGCGGUAAUAGCGACAGGGAAACGCCCGGUCCCAUCCCGAACCCGGAAGCUAAGCCUGUCAGCGCCGAUGAUACUG
Molecule: ribosomal RNA, 76 nt
Filed under: Mycobacterium riyadhense
Lineage: Bacteria; Bacillati; Actinomycetota; Actinomycetes; Mycobacteriales; Mycobacteriaceae
Also listed under: 1 other name
Source: RNAcentral